Molecule: ribosomal RNA, 442 nt
Filed under: uncultured bacterium
Lineage: Bacteria
Description: bacterial SSU rRNA
Rfam family: Bacterial small subunit ribosomal RNA
Source: RNAcentral
UGAGGAAUAUUGGACAAUGGAGGCAACUCUGAUCCAGCCAUGCCGCGUGAAGGACUAAGGCCCUAUGGGUCGUAAACUUCUUUUGACGCAGAGCAAUAAGGUGUACGCGUACACCGAUGAGAGUACCAUGAGAAUAAGCACCGGCUAACUCCGUGCCAGCAGCCGCGGUAAUACGGAGGGUGCAAGCGUUAUCCGGAUUUAUUGGGUUUAAAGGGUGCGUAGGCUGUAAGUCAAGUCAGCGGUGAAAAGUCGGGGCUAAACCUUGAGGGUGCCGUUGAAACUGAUUUACUAGAAUGUGGAUGAUGCCGGCGGAAUGUGUCAAGUAGCGGUGAAAUGCAUAGAUAUGACACAGAAGGCCGAUUGCGAAGGCAGCUGGCAAAGGCACGAUUGACGCUGAGGCACGAAAGUGCGGGGAUCGAACAGGAUUAGAUACCCUGGUAGU